UACAGAGGUCUCAAGCGUUGUUCGGAUUCAUUGGGCGUAAAGGGCGCGUAGGCGGUCGUGACAAGUCACUUGUGAAAUCUCCGGGCUUAACUCGAAACGGUCAAGUGAUACUGUCGGACUAGAGUACAGAAGGGGCAACUGGAAUUCUCGGUGUAGCGGUGAAAUGCGUAGAUAUCGAGAGGAACACCUGCGCGAAGGCGGGUUGCUGGGCUGAUACUGACGCUGAGGCGCGAAAGCCAGGGAGCGAACGGG
RNAcentral lists this ribosomal RNA (252 nucleotides) under uncultured bacterium. RNAcentral's name for it is "partial 16S ribosomal RNA". It matches the Rfam family "Bacterial small subunit ribosomal RNA", at positions 524 to 776 of the family's 1533-position model. The record is from RNAcentral.